Long non-coding RNA from Dalotia coriaria, 1230 nucleotides. RefSeq lists it as uncharacterized. The record is from RefSeq and is a predicted model, not a curated record. The transcript is spliced from 2 exons. Lineage: Eukaryota; Metazoa; Arthropoda; Insecta; Coleoptera; Staphylinidae.
AAGUUUAAUAUAAUAUUUACUACUUUAUUUACAGAGUUCACGUGAAUAACAAACACUCAGCACUCAACUUAGUCUCACAACGCUCACUCUUUAACUACUGACUUGAUUCUGCUACAGUUCACAACGCGAUGACGAUGACAAUUAAGCUGAUUGUUUGCUUAUGUCUGGACGAAUCACAACUGACUGCUAUACAUGAAUACAAGUGUAUUGCGAUACUCGAUAACUAAUAGGAAUGUUCAUCGUUCAUUAAGUUAAUUGAGUUUCAAACCAGUGUGUGGUAAUGGUUGUAAAUUGUGGUGUAAAGUAAGACCGAUGGAAGUUGUACUCAUACUUUCACAUCAACAUAAAGAAAAUGAAAAAAAAAAUGAAUGUAGGAAGAAGCACGAGUAAUGCAAGUCACGCGAAAAAGUUUUAUUUAAAUUAUUAAUAUUUUAUGUUGUUAUGACGCUACGAACUUUGACUGAUAAGAGAUAUCAAAAAGUAAGUUUUUACUAGAUUUGUUAUCAGGUAAGAUUACUACUGGUAAUGUUUUUAUUUGCUUUUUGUUUUUUUUUUCUCAUAAAAAACGUAAAAAUUUAAAUUUAAAUUAACUUACCCAAAUUUUACAGCAUCUGUAAGUUGUUCCUUUUCAGACACCAUUGUUUAUGUAUUAAUAAUAUUUAAGUAUGUUUAAAUUACGUAUACGUAAGUAAUUAAUUUAAUAUUCACAAAUAUUCACAUGGAUUUAUUUAUCACAAUUCAUUUAAAUUUUAAAAAAUAAUUUUAAGUUUAUAAGUUUAGUAUGAAAUCACAUUUGUUUUAAUUGUUAUUUUAUAUUUUUUGGAUAUUUUCUUGUCUAGUCUAGUCUAAUUUGACAGCCGAUCAAACAAUAAGCCUGGACGUGGUGUGUGAUCACGAUUUAUAAACGCGGCCGAAAUUCAGCUAUCAGCCGGAAUCAGGUGAUCAACAAAAAACGAAUAACCACCGGAGAUACGAGGAUAAUGGAAUUUAAACGCUGCGAAACGUGCGAAUCUGAGCGAUUAUUUCAUAAUCAACGUGCGUGUGUGUAUGUUUAUUACACUCCAAAAUUUAAAUUUGGUUAUAUUAUUAAGUAAUAGUUAUUAAAAUUGUAUUAAAAUUUGGGUUUAAGUGUCGAGUUGAUUCAGCAUAGUUUCAUGGUCAGUUUGGGUUUUAUAUAAUAAUUAAUUAUUAUAUAUGUUGCAAAAUUCAAAAUGUUUAGGUGAUCCAAAU